UUAAUUUGAAAUCUACUUGAUAUUUUUUCUUUGUUUUUAGAAUAACUUCAGUGACAGUAUUAAGUAGUAAUUGAUAAAUAAAAUAACGCAUAUUUUACUUUUAAUUUACAACUUUACAAGUAAAAAUUCCGAAAAUGAUGAUCACAAUUAUUACGUAACGAUGUCGAGUGUGCGAUUAGAACAGACUAGAUUGUAAAGGAUUGCUCUGCCUUUUUUAAUAUUUUGUAUCCCCAAAAAUCAUCAUUGUCUUAUUCUUACAAUGUAAUUGUUUAUUGAUAGCCUUUAUUAAAAUAAUAAUUAGCUCAAAUAAAAGAAUCAGGUUAUUCUAAGAUUAUGAAUAUAAUGUAUAAAUAGAUGUGUUGAAUAUAAGAGAGCAUAGAUAUACAAGAUUUUAAAAGAAUAGAAAAUUCUGAUUGGUGUAUUAAGUAACCAGUAGUUGUAUAAAGUAUGAACUAUACUGAAAGUAUGAUGAAAAAUGGUAAUUCUUGCUAUGUUAGUUGCAAUAUUCAAGACAACUCAGAAUAUGAAGAUUUUUCUUCUUUGUUACCCUUGAAUAAUGAGGAAGACAUAAAAAUAUUUGAACAUAAACUUACUGAUGUCUCCUUCAAAACAAAAGCCAUUAUGGAAUUGACAAGAUUAAACAGAAAUACUUUGCCGAGCACUGUCUGCAACAUUAUGGGCUAUUUAUUUUGUGAUGCUGUUUUAACAUUGUAUAGUUACAAAUAAAUAUUGUUUAAAUUAACUUUUACUUUUUGUAAAAAUUUUUUAAUUUCUUUAUUAAAAAUCUUUAAAAGUUGUAUUUUCUGAUUUUAUAAAAUCAGUAUUAUCGCGGCAGUAUUUAAAAAUGAAAAUGUUUUAAUGUGUUGAUAUAAU
Molecule: long non-coding RNA, 873 nt
Organism: Daktulosphaira vitifoliae (grape phylloxera)
Lineage: Eukaryota; Metazoa; Arthropoda; Insecta; Hemiptera; Phylloxeridae
Exons: 3
Source: RefSeq, a predicted model, not a curated record